UGCUUAGCCUGGAGAUGCUCACUCCUCAA
RNAcentral lists this non-coding RNA (29 nucleotides) under Rattus norvegicus (Norway rat). Lineage: Eukaryota; Metazoa; Chordata; Mammalia; Rodentia; Muridae. The record is from RNAcentral.